UAGUAAGAUGGUGGCACACCGGCUCGGGCUUCUCUUUGCGCCUUCCCCCGCGGCCUGCAGUGGGGCGAGCAUCAAGGUUCCGCCCCGACUGUCAGGCGCGGGGCAGCCCAGGUCCUGCCUUCCAGAGAUAAUUCAAAAAGAAGGUCCCUGCCCUCUGGGGUGUGCAGAAGAUGUGGCAAAGACUGAUGUUGGACUAAUGAAUGCAGAUGAACAAGGAAAUGAAAAGCUAUGAAUUCCUUCAAAUUUAAUAAAUAUUGGAUUUAACUGGGAGAGCCCUCCUGAAAAUCUUGGCUUCAGACAUGAAGGAAGAAACCAAGAAAAACUACAAGAUAGCUGAUCCCUCUACAUGGGAAGAGCUCUGAGAGUGGAUGAGACAGGAUAAAUCUUGUUGGCUACAGAGUUCUCAUGAAUUAUUAUUAGAUGCCAUCCUUUCACAUGGCAUGGAUAGAUUACAUCACAGUUUGAUUAUGCAGUUCAAACGGACUUAGGGAGUUGACAGAUGCCUUUUACCUGCUCAAAGAUAAAGCAGAGAAUCAUAUUUAGCUAAUUUAUGUAUACCACAUAGUCCAUACUUGUGUUAAUGCAGAUAUGUAUGUUACCUUUAAAAGUUUGUAUGUUUUUAGAACAAAUGAACCAGAUACCAAUGAAGACAAGUAGCCCAGGUGAUCCAGCCUCUCAGAGUGCUUCCAUUGUUGUUUCCUUAAAAAUCUGCAUCCAGGAUAACUUCAAAGCUGCUAGAUGAGAUGGGCCAGCCUCACAGAUGGCUCCAGCCAGGGCUUCAGUUAAGCUUUACACCUUCCCAUCACACAGAGACUGGACAAUAAAUAAUACAGCUACCUCUCCCAGGACUUGAACAUUACCUCAGUUUUCUCAAGGACCCCUACGAUGCUGUCACCUCCAGAUAGCAGGAAGCAAUUUUAAGAACACAAAGACCACAUUCCUAAGAAAUGGGGUGGGAUUUCUCUGUGUUGCUUUGGAGCCAGUCCUGGAACUAGCUCUUGCAGACCAGGCAAGAGAUCCGCCUGCCUCUGCCUCCUGAGUGCUGCGAUUAAAGGCUUGCGCCACCACCGCCCAGCUGCUAAACUACUUUUAACAGUAUUGUGUGUGUGUGUAUGCUCGUGUGCACACUGGUGUGAGCGUAACUUGGAAUUUGUUCUCCUAUUGUGGGCUGUGGGGAUCUGACUCAGAUCAUCGUACUUCACAGCAAGCACCUUGCCCCCGAGUCAUCUUGCUGGCCUGAAAACACCUAUUUCUUAGUGUUGAUUCUCAACCUAUGGGUGGCAACCCCAUCGUGGUUUGUUGAACAGCUCUUUCAGAGGGUCACCAUUGGAAAACACAGAUAUUUACAUUGUAAUUUCGUAACAGUAGCGAAAUUAGUUAAAAAGUAGCAACAAAACUAAUUUUAUGGUCCCCACAGGGUCACCACAACAUGAAGAACUGGAUUAAAGGUGGCAGCAUUAGGGAGGUUGGUUUGCAUUAGGGAGGUUGAAACCACUGGCUAUAGUAUAAAGAUACCCACCUCAUUUCAGCAAGUCAACCUUUAGCCUAAUUUAUAUCCCAAGGACCCUCCAUGGAAAGCUUGCAGCUUCAAACUUUAAAUCCUUCCCUUUAGUUUCACUCUUCAGAAAGUGCCCACAUAGCACUUUCUCUUCUUCACACCAAGCUCCUCUUUUGCUGAUGGCAUCA
This is a long non-coding RNA of Alexandromys fortis (reed vole), 1686 nucleotides long. RefSeq lists it as uncharacterized. The record is from RefSeq and is a predicted model, not a curated record. The transcript has 4 exons. NCBI's taxonomy places the organism in Eukaryota, Metazoa, Chordata, Mammalia, Rodentia, Cricetidae.